UAGCUCAGUGGUAAGAGCAUUUAUUUAGCAUGUAUGAGGUCCUGGGUUCAAUCCCCAG
This 58-nucleotide transfer RNA is filed under the name Ictidomys tridecemlineatus (thirteen-lined ground squirrel). RNAcentral's name for it is "Spermophilus tridecemlineatus (thirteen-lined ground squirrel) tRNA". It matches the Rfam family "tRNA", at positions 8 to 63 of the family's 71-position model. Rfam says of the family: Transfer RNA (tRNA) molecules are approximately 80 nucleotides in length. Their secondary structure includes four short double-helical elements and three loops (D, anti-codon, and T loops). The record is from Rfam by way of RNAcentral. Lineage: Eukaryota; Metazoa; Chordata; Mammalia; Rodentia; Sciuridae.